This 454-nucleotide ribosomal RNA is filed under the name uncultured bacterium. RNAcentral's name for it is "bacterial SSU rRNA". It matches the Rfam family "Bacterial small subunit ribosomal RNA", at positions 340 to 786 of the family's 1533-position model. The record is from RNAcentral.
UAGGGAAGGCAGCAGUGGGGAAUAUUGCACAAUGGGCGAAAGCCUGAUGCAGCUAUGCCGCGUGUAUGAAGAAGGCCUUAGGGUUGUAAAGUACUUUCAUCGGGGAGGAAAAACAAAACUAAUAAUUUUAUUUCUUGACGUUACCCGAAAAAGAAGCACCGGCUAACUCCGUGCCAGCAGCCGCGGUAAUACGGAGGGUGCUAGCGUUAAUCAGAAUUACUGGGCGUAAAGAGCACGUAGGUGGUUUUUUUAAGUCAGAUGUGAAAUCCCUGGGCUUAACCUGGAACUGCAUUUUGAAACUGAAAUACUAGAGUAUCGUAGAGGGAGGUAGAAUUCUAGGUGUAGCGGUGAAAUGCGUAGAUAUCUGGAGGAAUACCUGUGGCGAAAGCGGCCUCCUAAACGAAUACUGACACUGAGGUGCGAAAGCGUGGGGAGCAAACAGGGAUUAGAUACC